GUUAAACUAUUCUACAUUCUACUUUUAUCUGGAUAUGGAGUAAAGGUUAAACUAUUCUACAUUCUACUUUUAUCUGGAUUUGGAGUAAAGGUUAAACUAUUCUACUUUCUACUUUUAUCUGGAUAUGGAGUAAAGGUUAAACUAUUCUACUUUCUACUUUUAUCUGGAUAUGGAGUAAAGGUUAAACUAUUCUACUUUCUACUUUUAUCUGGAUAUGGAGUAAAGGUUAAACUAUUCUACUUUCUACUUUUAUCUGGAUAUGGAGUAAAGGUUAAACUAUUCUACCUUCU
Long non-coding RNA from Mytilus californianus (California mussel), 290 nucleotides. RefSeq lists it as uncharacterized. The transcript is spliced from 4 exons. The record is from RefSeq and is a predicted model, not a curated record. Lineage: Eukaryota; Metazoa; Mollusca; Bivalvia; Mytilida; Mytilidae.